Molecule: ribosomal RNA, 464 nt
Filed under: Vreelandella stevensii
Lineage: Bacteria; Pseudomonadati; Pseudomonadota; Gammaproteobacteria; Oceanospirillales; Halomonadaceae
Description: partial 16S ribosomal RNA
Rfam family: Bacterial small subunit ribosomal RNA
Source: RNAcentral
CCUACGGGGAGCAGCAGUGGGGAAUAUUGGACAAUGGGCGAAAGCCUGAUCCAGCCAUGCCGCGUGUGUGAAGAAGGCCUUCGGGUUGUAAAGCACUUUCAGUGGGGAAGAAAGCCUUGGGGCUAAUACCCUCGAGGAAGGACAUCACCCACAGAAGAAGCACCGGCUAACUCCGUGCCAGCAGCCGCGGUAAUACGGAGGGUGCGAGCGUUAAUCGGAAUUACUGGGCGUAAAGCGCGCGUAGGCGGUCUGAUAAGCCGGUUGUGAAAGCCCCGGGCUCAACCUGGGAACGGCAUCCGGAACUGUCAGGCUAGAGUGCAGGAGAGGAAGGUAGAAUUCCCGGUGUAGCGGUGAAAUGCGUAGAGAUCGGGAGGAAUACCAGUGGCGAAGGCGGCCUUCUGGACUGACACUGACGCUGAGGUGCGAAAGCGUGGGUAGCAAACAGGAUUAGAUACCCCAGAGUC